GAUGAAGAACGCAGCAAAAUGCGAUAAGUAAUGUGAAUUGCAGAAUUCAGUGAAUCAUCGAAUCUUUGAACGCACAUUGCGCCCGCCAGUAUUCUGGCGGGCAUGCCUGUUCGAGCGUCAUUUCAACCCUCAAGCACAGCUUGGUGUUGGGACUCGCGUUAAUUCGCGUUCCCCAAAUUGAUUGGCGGUCACGUCGAGCUUCCAUAGCGUAGUAGUAAAACCCUCGUUACUGGUAAUCGUCGCGGCCACGCCGUUAAACCCCAACUUCUGUAUGUUGACCUCGGAUCAGGUAGGAAUACCCGCUGAACUUAAGCAUAUCAAUAAGCGGAGGA
This 332-nucleotide unclassified non-coding RNA is filed under the name soil metagenome. RNAcentral's name for it is "partial contains 5.8S ribosomal RNA, internal transcribed spacer 2, and large subunit ribosomal RNA". The stretch from base 1 to 120 matches the Rfam family "5.8S ribosomal RNA", at positions 35 to 154 of the family's 154-position model. The record is from RNAcentral.